AGUGAACGCUGGCGGUAGGCCUAACACAUGCAAGUCGAACGGCAGCACCGUAAGAGCUUGCUCUUACGGGUGGCGAGUCGCGGACGGGUGAGGAAUACAUCGGAAUCUACUUUUUCGUGUGGGAUAACGUAGGGAAACUUACGCUAAUACCGCAUACGCCCUUCGGUUGAAAGCAGGGGAUCUUCGCACCUUGCGCGAUUGAAUGAGCCGAUGUCGGAUUAGAUAGUUGGCGGGGUAAAUGCCCACCAAGGGGGCGAUACGUAGCUGGUCUGAGUGGAGGAUCGGCCACACGGGAGCGUGACCACGGUCCAGAGUACUACGGGACGGAGCAGUGGCGAAUAGGAGGCAACGGUGGCAAACCUGACCCAGCGAUACCGCGUAGGUGAAGAAGGCCUUCGGGUUGUAAAGCCCUUUUGUUGGGAAAGAAAAGCAGCAGGUUAAUACGCCGCUGUUCUGACGGUACCCAAAGAAGAAGCACCGGCUAACUUCGUG
This 492-nucleotide ribosomal RNA is filed under the name uncultured bacterium. RNAcentral's name for it is "partial 16S ribosomal RNA". It matches the Rfam family "Bacterial small subunit ribosomal RNA", at positions 29 to 507 of the family's 1533-position model. The record is from RNAcentral.